Sarcophilus harrisii (Tasmanian devil) is the source of this 2094-nucleotide long non-coding RNA. RefSeq lists it as uncharacterized. The record is from RefSeq and is a predicted model, not a curated record. Lineage: Eukaryota; Metazoa; Chordata; Mammalia; Dasyuromorphia; Dasyuridae. The transcript has 4 exons.
ACUAGGCACAGGGCAGCAUGGUGGCCCCCCUUUAUCUGUCCUGCAUGUCGGUCCUUGCCUAAAGGAGGAGGGUUUGCCUCUGUAAGCCAGGAGCAGAGAUGCAGCCUGCAGGUGCCCGAUGGUCUCCACCUUGGCAGCCUGAAUUUCAGCUGAGCAGGUAUUGCUUGGAGCCCUGUGCCCAACGGCCUCUGAUGGAGAAGAGCCGGCUUCCUACCACUUUUUCCUUCUCUGAAUGGUCUCUCCUGCCACGGGGCUCUACCUGCAGGAGCAGGAGGACUACCAGAGAGGAGCCGAGGCUCUCCGUCACUUCUCUCUCGGACUGGGGCCUUGGCAGCCAAUCUCACCAGCUCUGGAGCUGUCUCACCACAGAACAGAGUAUUGGCUGCCGGGUCGGUGCAGACUCUCGUUCGCCUCACUUAGAGCAAGGUUAAACAAGAAGCCAGACUCACUGACCUAAACCAGUCCCAGUCCCUUUCUGGAUGCGGGGCAGCAGUCGACUAGCAGUGACACAAUCAGCCAUCAAGUGGAGACUCUCUGGGACUGCAGUCUGUGUCAGUGGGUGCCGGGGAGAAAGAAAAGGCUCCCACUUUGGCUUAUCCAAUUUGCUGCUUCUUUCCUUUUCCCAAAUAGCUACUAAUUGUGCUUGAUUUCUCAGACUAUGUUUCUAUGGCUCAGUCUAUCCACAAAGCAGUCAGCCCUUGAUCGGCUCUUGCUGGCAAUCAGGGUGCUAAGUCAGCCUGCUUUAGCAGUUGUCUCUUUUUGCGUGAUGCUAUGCAGCUAGAAUGGGUCACAUUGACAACAAAGGAGCCGGCACAAAGCCUCCCUUUAUCUCCUCGAUGGUUACAGGAGCAUAACUCUUCUCCGAUAUGAUGCCCUCCUCUUUGUGUCUCCUCCAUGGGUGUGCAUGUGGGUAUAUGUUUUAAUUCAUCUGAGUGAAGAGCCUCACAAGACAUCAUCAUGGAUGUGGGUUUUAAUGAUUUGGAAAAGACAGCCUGUGGAGACCGCCAUUUGAGACAGCAGCACAUUUAGGUUAUUGCCAAUUUGAAAUACUUGGUUUGUGAAGCUGAGCCCUAAGGGACGAGCUCAGGAACUGAAAAAGAGAUCGUAGAUAAAGAAAUAAAAAUGACAAGCAUAAUGGAGGCUCUGCAAAAGAGACUGUCAGAGCAUCAGUUCAUGGAUGGCAAUUUCACCAGCCUGAGACUGAAUAAUUCAUAGAAUGAAAUUACCCUGCUUUCACCUUUCCAUUUAAACCGGCAUGAUCUGAAUCUCUAAUAAAUUUUCAAGAUAAAGUAAAAUGCCAAUUUGAAUCUGAAGAGCUUUUAAAGCCAGAUGCUGCAUCCUGAAAUCUUUCGAUAUCUUUCACAAUUAUCCUGUGAAAACUGCACUUCAGCACGAAGCACCAUUACCAGUGAAAAUUGCUGUGAUUACAAUAGCAACAAUAGAAUACCAUCAAAUGAUCAUUCAUUUACCUAAUUUGCUAAGACUGACUGUGGUUUGAAUGCCCAUUGUGUGUCACCAAGCCUGGCAUCUGUGGAUCAAUAUCGCAAAGGAACAAAAAUGUUGCAGAGGGCACUACCUUUAACUCUGAAAGUCCAGCAGAGAAACCUCUACUAGGUAUGUUAAAGAACAAGAGGAUGUAUUCUCCAGGGAGAACAAAAGAGAUUCUCUGUCUGAUUACUGUAACUACCAGCUGAGAGCUUAAGAAUACUCCCUCUCUUUACCUCCACUGCCUGGUCUCCUUGACUUCUUCAAGAUUCAUUUUACUCCAGCCUUCUUCAGGAAGGAAGCUGUUUCCAGGCCUACCCACUCGUGUCUUCCUCCUCUGAGAUUACCUUCUAAGAUAUAUCUGGUACGUACAUAAUUAAUCAAUAAACAUUUAUUAAGUGCCUUCUACAUAUCAGUGCUGAUAAGUGCUGAGGACACACGCACACACAUGGAUGCAAAAUGCAACCCUAGACUCUAGCACUCAAGUCUAAUGGAAGUGACAAUAAGCAAACAAAGAUGUACAAAUAGGGGCAUAUACAUUAUAUAGUGGAUGGAGUACUGACCUUCAGGUCAAAAAGAUCUGAGUUCAAAUGUGGUCUCAGACACUUG